CCAGACUCCUACGGGAGGCAGCAGUGGGGAAUAUUGCACAAUGGGGGAAACCCUGAUGCAGCGACGCCGCGUGAGUGAAGAAGUAUUUCGGUAUGUAAAGCUCUAUCAGCAGGGAAGAAAAUGACGGUACCUGACUAAGAGGCCCCGGCUAACUACGUGCCAGCAGCCGCGGUAAUACGUAGGGGGCAAGCGUUAUCCGGAUUUACUGGGUGUAAAGGGAGCGUAGACGGCAUGGCAAGUCAGAUGUGAAAGGCCGGGGCUCAACCCCGGGACUGCAUUUGAAACUGUCAGGCUGGAGUGCAGGAGAGGUAAGUGGAAUUCCUAGUGUAGCGGUGAAAUGCGUAGAUAUUAGGAGGAACACCAGUGGCGAAGGCGGCUUACUGGACUGUAACUGACGUUGAGGCUCGAAAGCGUGGGGAGCAAACAGGAUUAGAUACCCCAGUAAA
RNAcentral lists this ribosomal RNA (446 nucleotides) under uncultured bacterium. RNAcentral describes it as "bacterial SSU rRNA". It matches the Rfam family "Bacterial small subunit ribosomal RNA", at positions 331 to 794 of the family's 1533-position model. The record is from RNAcentral.